This 488-nucleotide ribosomal RNA is filed under the name uncultured bacterium. Its description in RNAcentral is "partial 16S ribosomal RNA". It matches the Rfam family "Bacterial small subunit ribosomal RNA", at positions 30 to 507 of the family's 1533-position model. The record is from RNAcentral.
AUUGAACGCUGGCGGCAGGCCUAACACAUGCAAGUCGAACGGUAGCACAGAGAGCUUGCUCUCGGGUGACGAGUGGCGGACGGGUGAGUAAUGUCUGGGAAACUGCCCGAUGGAGGGGGAUAACUACUGGAAACGGUAGCUAAUACCGCAUAAUGUCGCAAGACCACAGAGGGGGACCUUCGGGCCUCUUGCCAUCGGAUGUGCCCAGAUGGGAUUAGCUUGUUGGUGAGGUAAUGGCUCACCAAGGCGACGAUCCCUAGCUGGUCUGAGAGGAUGACCAGCCACACUGGAACUGAGACACGGUCCAGACUCCUACGGGAGGCAGCAGUGGGGAAUAUUGCACAAUGGGCGCAAGCCUGAUGCAGCCAUGCCGCGUGUGUGAAGAAGGCCUUCGGGUUGUAAAGCACUUUCAGCGGGGAGGAAGGCGAUACGGUUAAUAACCGUGUUGAUUGACGUUACCCGCAGAAGAAGCACCGGCUAACUCCGUG